UGGGAUGUGGUUUAGUGGUAAAAUGCUUGCCUAGCACAUGAGAGGUGCUGGGUUCAAGCCUCAGCACCACAU
RNAcentral lists this transfer RNA (72 nucleotides) under Marmota marmota marmota (Alpine marmot). It matches the Rfam family "tRNA". From Rfam's summary of the family: Transfer RNA (tRNA) molecules are approximately 80 nucleotides in length. Their secondary structure includes four short double-helical elements and three loops (D, anti-codon, and T loops). Lineage: Eukaryota; Metazoa; Chordata; Mammalia; Rodentia; Sciuridae. RNAcentral also lists the same sequence under 2 other names. The record is from Rfam by way of RNAcentral.